Molecule: ribosomal RNA, 253 nt
Filed under: uncultured bacterium
Lineage: Bacteria
Description: partial 16S ribosomal RNA
Rfam family: Bacterial small subunit ribosomal RNA
Source: RNAcentral
GACGUAGGACGCGAGCGUUGUCCGGAUUUAUUGGGCGUAAAGAGCUCGUAGGCGGCUCAUUGCGUCAACCGUGAAAACCAGCAGCUCAACUGUUGGCUUGCGGUUGAUACGGGUGGGCUGGAGUUCGGUAGGGGAGACUGGAAUUCCUGGUGUAGCGGUGAAAUGCGCAGAUAUCAGGAGGAACACCGGUGGCGAAGGCGGGUCUCUGGGCCGAUACUGACGCUGAGGAGCGAAAGCGUGGGGAGCGAACAGG